AGGAACGAGCAGUUCGGCAAACCUACAAAGGCCAUGAACAAAUACCAAAAAAGAUCAAGCAAGGACGAUCUAGUUAUGAGGGCGACACUCGAAUCAAUCACGAGAAUUGGAUAA
This 114-nucleotide ribosomal RNA is filed under the name Triticum aestivum (bread wheat). RNAcentral's name for it is "partial small subunit ribosomal RNA". Lineage: Eukaryota; Viridiplantae; Streptophyta; Magnoliopsida; Poales; Poaceae. The record is from RNAcentral.